CCCUAUGGGGUGCAUCGUGAACGGGCCCGGCGAGUCCAAACACGUGAACAUCGGCAUCAGCCUGCCCGGCACCGGCGAGAGUCCCAAGUGCCCCGUCUUCGUGGACGGCGAGAAGCGGACGACGCUGGAGGGGACCUACGAGGUCCUCGCCGAGGCCUUCGAGGCCCUCAUCGAGGAGUACGUCCGCACCAAGUACCCGCGACGGUAGGCACAGGGAAGGACGGGGAGGGGAGUUUGAAAUAUCAAGUCUAAAGGGCAAGACCAAAGACGAAAUACCAAGGUCAAACCGGGCGUGGCGUUGGUCCCUCAUCGUCGGCCCAAAAACCGAAGCCUCCACCGGCCCGGCGCUCGAUCACUCCCCAACCAACCGAUACCCCACGCCCGUCUCGGUGAGGAGGUGGCGGGGGGGC
This 410-nucleotide ribosomal RNA is filed under the name uncultured prokaryote. RNAcentral's name for it is "partial 16S ribosomal RNA". The record is from RNAcentral.